CAUGCAUGUCUCAGUACAAGCCGAAUUAAGGUGAAACCGCGAAAGGCUCAUUAAAUCAGUUAUGGUUCCUUAGACCGUACCCACAUUUACUUGGAUAACUGUGGUAAUUCUAGAGCUAAUACAUGCAAACAGAGCUCCGACCGGAGACGGGAGGAGUGCUUUUAUUAGAUCAAAACCAAUCGGCCGCGUCGGCGCUUCGCGCGCCGCGCGCGCGCCGCUCAACCUGGUGAAUCUGAAUAACUUUAUGCUGAUCGCACGGUCGAGCACCGGCGACGCAUCUUUCAAAUGUCUGCCUUAUCAACUGUCGAUGGUAGGUUCUGCGCCUACCAUGGUCGUAACGGGUAACGGGGAAUCAGGGUUCGAUUCCGGAGAGGGAGCCUGAGAAACGGCUACCACAUCCAAGGAAGGCAGCAGGCGCGCAAAUUACCCACUCCCGGCACGGGGAGGUAGUGACGAAAAAUAACGAUACGGGACUCAUCCGAGGCCCCGUAAUCGGAAUGAGUACACUUUAAAUCCUUUAACGAGGACCAAUUGGAGGGCAAGUCUGGUGCCAGCAGCCGCGGUAAUUCCAGCUCCAAUAGCGUAUAUUAAAGUUGUUGCGGUUAAAAAGCUCGUAGUUGAAUCUGUGUCUCGCGCUGUCGGUUCACCGCCCGCGGUGUCAAACUGGCACGCCGCGAGACGUCCUGCCGGUGGGCUCCGCCCGUGCUCGCCCCGGUCCGCUUCGCGCGGCCGGGCGGCCGGGCGUCCCGUUAUUCAAUCCUGCCGCGGUGCUCUUCGCUGAGUGUCGAGGUGGGCCGGCACGUUUACUUUGAACAAAUUAGAGUGCUCAAAGCAGGCCGAAAACAAGCCGAUAUAUUGUGUGCAUGGAAUAAUGGAACAGGACCUCGGUUCUAUUUUGUUGGUUUCCGGAACGACGAGGUAAUGAUUAAUAGGGACAGAUGGGGGCAUUCGUAUUGCGACGUUAGAGGUGAAAUUCUUGGAUCGUCGCAAGACGGACAGAAGCGAAAGCAUUUGCCAAAAAUGUUUUCAUUAAUCAAAAACGAAAGUCAGACGUUCGAAGGCAAUCAGAUACCGCCCUAGUUCUCACUAUCAACUGUGUUAGCUAGCGAUCCGCCGACGUUCCUCCGAUGACUCGGCGGACAGAUUCUGGAAAACCAGAGCUUUUGGUUUCCGCGGGAAGUAUGGUUGCAAAGCUGAUAUUUAAAAGAAUUGAUAGAAGAGCACCACCAGAAGUGGGGUCUGCGGCUUAAUUUGACUCAACACGGGAAAGCUCACCGGGCUCAGACACCGGAAGGAUUGAUAGAUUGAGAGCUCUUUCUCGAUUCGGUGGGUGGUGAUGCAUUGCCGAUCAGAUCAUGAACGAGACUCUCACUUGCUAAAUAGACGAGAUUGAUCGAUAACAGGUCUGUAACGCCCUUAGAUGUUCUGGGCCGCACGCGCGCAACAUUAAUUGAUUUAACGUAUCGUCCUAGGCCGAACAGUCCCGGUAACCCCCUGAGCACGAUUUGUGCUAAGGAUUGGGGCUUGCAACUUUUCCCCAUGAAAGAGGAAUUCCCAGUAAACGGGAGUCAAUACCUCGCGUUGAGUAACUACCCCUUAUACAUACCGCCCGUUGCUACCACCGAUUGAAUGAUUUAGUGAAGUCUUCGGAUCGGUACGCGGCGGCGUAGCUGCCGAUGUAGCUGGGAAGAAGAACCAAACAAUCUCCGAUGUAGCUGGGAAGAUGAACCAAACCUGAUCGCUUAGAGGAAGUAAAAGUCGUAAUAAGGUUUCCGU
RNAcentral lists this ribosomal RNA (1776 nucleotides) under Matus sp. BT0141. Its description in RNAcentral is "SSU rRNA". It matches the Rfam family "Eukaryotic small subunit ribosomal RNA". The record is from RNAcentral. Lineage: Eukaryota; Metazoa; Arthropoda; Insecta; Coleoptera; Dytiscidae.